GACGAACGCUGGCGGCGUGCUUAACACAUGCAAGUCGAACGGCAACGCCCUGCUUUUGUGGGGUUCUCGGUUGGCGAACGGGUGCGUAACACGUGAGUAACCUGCCCUUGUCUUUGGGAUAACUUCAGGAAACUGGGGCUAAUACCGGAUCGGAGCUCCUGCUGCAUGGUGGGGGUUGGAAAGUUUCGGCGGGUGGGGAUGGACUCGCGGCUUAUCAGUUUGUUGGUGGGGGAGUGGCUGACCAAGGCUUUGACGGGUAGCCGGCCUGUGAGGGUGACCGGCCACAUGGGGACUGCGAGACGGCCCAGUGGGCUACGUGAGGCAGCAGGGGGGAAUAUGGCCCAAUGAGCCGAAGCCUGAUGCAGCAACGCCGGGUGCGGGAUGACGGCCUGCGGGGUGAAAACAGCUUUCGCCUGUGACGAAGCGGGAGUGAUGGUAAUGGGUAAAGAAGCACCGGCUAACUACGUG
RNAcentral lists this ribosomal RNA (468 nucleotides) under uncultured bacterium. RNAcentral's name for it is "partial 16S ribosomal RNA". It matches the Rfam family "Bacterial small subunit ribosomal RNA", at positions 28 to 507 of the family's 1533-position model. The record is from RNAcentral.